UACGUAGGCAGCAAGCGUUGUUCGGAAUUGCUGGGCGUAAAGAGUGUGUAGGCGGUGCUCUAAGUUCGGUGUGAAAUCUCCCGGCUUAACUGGGAGGGUGCGCCGGAAACUGGAGUGCUCGAGGGUGGGAGAGGAAAGCGGAAUUCCUGGUGUAGCGGUGAAAUGCGUAGAUAUCAGGAGGAACGCCUGCGGUGUAGACAGCUUUCUGGACCACUUCUGACGCUGAGACACGAAAGCGUGGGUAGCAAACA
Molecule: ribosomal RNA, 251 nt
Filed under: uncultured prokaryote
Description: partial 16S ribosomal RNA
Rfam family: Bacterial small subunit ribosomal RNA
Source: RNAcentral